AUACGGAGGAUCCGAGCGUUAUCCGGAUUUAUUGGGUUUAAAGGGUGCGCAGGCGGCCAUUUAAGUCAGCGGUUAAAUCGUGGGGCUCAACCCCAUUCUGCCGUUGAUACUGGGUGGCUUGAUUGCGGUCGAGGUUGGCGGAAUUCGUUGUGUAGCGGUGAAAUGCAUAGAUAUGACGAAGAACACCGAUUGCGUAGGCAGCUGACCAGACCGCAAAUGACGCUCAUGCACGAAAGUGCGGGGAUCGAACAGGAUUAGGUACCCUGGUAGUCCGCACAGUAAACGAUGAAUACUUGUUUUCGGCGAUAUAAUGUCGGAGGCAAAGCGAAAGCGAUAAGUAUUCCACCUGGGGAGUACGCCGGCGACGGUGAAACUUAAAGGAAUUGACGGGG
RNAcentral lists this ribosomal RNA (392 nucleotides) under uncultured bacterium. Its description in RNAcentral is "partial 16S ribosomal RNA". It matches the Rfam family "Bacterial small subunit ribosomal RNA", at positions 523 to 918 of the family's 1533-position model. The record is from RNAcentral.